GCUCAGUUGGUAAAGCACAAGGCUCAUAACCUUGUGGACGUGGAUUCAAGUCCCAU
RNAcentral lists this transfer RNA (56 nucleotides) under Triticum aestivum (bread wheat). It matches the Rfam family "tRNA", at positions 10 to 63 of the family's 71-position model. Rfam says of the family: Transfer RNA (tRNA) molecules are approximately 80 nucleotides in length. Their secondary structure includes four short double-helical elements and three loops (D, anti-codon, and T loops). Lineage: Eukaryota; Viridiplantae; Streptophyta; Magnoliopsida; Poales; Poaceae. The record is from Rfam by way of RNAcentral.